This 254-nucleotide transfer-messenger RNA is filed under the name Kingella sp. (in: b-proteobacteria). RNAcentral describes it as "Kingella sp. partial transfer-messenger RNA". It matches the Rfam family "transfer-messenger RNA", at positions 117 to 374 of the family's 374-position model. From Rfam's summary of the family: Bacterial tmRNA, also known as 10Sa RNA or SsrA, is named for its dual tRNA and mRNA-like properties. Its role is to liberate the mRNA from a stalled ribosome. To accomplish this part of the tmRNA is used as a reading frame that ends in a translation stop signal. The record is from RNAcentral. Lineage: Bacteria; Pseudomonadati; Pseudomonadota; Betaproteobacteria; Neisseriales; Neisseriaceae.
CACUGGCCGCUUAAGGCCUGCCGUUGCAGCAGUUGGUCAAUGGGCUGUGUAGCGUAAGCUACCGCAACGUCAUUUCACAUUGACUGGCUUUCCGUCGGGUUACUUGGCGGAAAGCGAGAUUUAAGGUAACUGGUUUCUUGAAAGCCUGUUGGUCGGCGCGAUAGAAAUAAGAUUUCCAAAUAGACACAACUAAGUAUGUAGAACGCUUUGUAGAGGACUUUCGGACGCGGGUUCGAUUCCCGCCGCCUCCACCA